GCCUGGGUGGCUCAGUGGUUGAGCAUCUGCCUUUGACUCAGGUCCUGAUCCCGGGGUCUUGGGAUCAAGUCCUGCAUCAGGCU
This 83-nucleotide transfer RNA is filed under the name Canis lupus familiaris (dog). It matches the Rfam family "tRNA". Rfam says of the family: Transfer RNA (tRNA) molecules are approximately 80 nucleotides in length. Their secondary structure includes four short double-helical elements and three loops (D, anti-codon, and T loops). The record is from Rfam by way of RNAcentral. RNAcentral also lists the same sequence under 1 other name. Lineage: Eukaryota; Metazoa; Chordata; Mammalia; Carnivora; Canidae.